This is a small nuclear RNA of Ictidomys tridecemlineatus (thirteen-lined ground squirrel), 107 nucleotides long. NCBI's taxonomy places the organism in Eukaryota, Metazoa, Chordata, Mammalia, Rodentia, Sciuridae. The record is from Ensembl.
GUGCUCACUUUGGCAGCACAUGUACUAAAAUUGAAACGGUACAGAGGAGAUUAACAUGGUCCCUGUACAAGGAUGACAUGCAAAUUCCUGAAAUAUUUCAUAUUUUC